CAGAGAGAGAGGAAACGGCAUUGUCUAGAAAAAUCUAGAAGAGACGAAGAGAGAAAAAAAAGAAAAAAAAAAGAAAAAGGAAAGAAAUAGAAGAAGAAGAAGAAGAAGAAGAAGAAGAAAGAGGUGGCCGUUCUUUCUAUGUUUCUGGUUUUUCUUAGUUCUUCUCAUCUUCAAGAGUGUUGAAGAAAGUGGAAAUUUGAGAUGAAGAAUGAAUUGGGCAGAAAAAAAAGGGCAAAAAGAAGGAGAAAAAGAGAAAGAAAAGAGGAGAGAAAGAAGAAAAGGAAGGAAAAGAAAAAGAAAGGAAAAGAGGUAGUGGCUAUUCCAAUUUCAUUUUCAAUUUGUCUAAUUUCUUUAAAAGAUAUGGUAUGUUUUAUGCUUAAAUUUUUAGAGUUUUGAUUUUAUUUGUUUAAUUUUCAGAUUUUAAGGAAGGAAUAUAUAUGUUUUCAAGUCAAUGUUUUUGAAUUGGAGAUGCUAUUUACACUAAGGUAAGAAAUACCAAUUUUUGGCAAAAUCCUAGAAUUUUCAUUUGGGUUUUUGAAUGAGUUUAGUUAACGGGAAAAAUUUUAAGGAUGAAAUACUAUUUGAAGGCAUGAAUUUAUUGCUCAAAAUGGGAAAUUAAAUUGGUUAAAUUAUGAUUAUUAAUUUUACUAGUUUGAAAGAAGGAAUUAUUUUUAUGUUUGGAGUGAAGAUUAUUGUAAUGAAUUAGUUAUUAAGAAAUAGACCAGAAUGUGGAAUUAGCUUGAAGUGAUUAAAGGAAAUUGGAGAAAAUAUUAUUCAAGUAUCGAGAAGUCAAGUUUUAGUAUUCGAUUACUAGUAUUAAGAAAUACUAAGUAUCGAAGUUGUUAAAUUAGUUAUUUUAUAUCCUAUUUCAGGUGGUAACGUGAAAGCUGGGCAAGAUUGGUAAAAUUGAACCAGAUUGCUAUUCAUAGAUCUGUGAGUGGAAAAUCUACGUUUUCAAAAAGAAGAUUUCCUUUUUAUUUUAUAGAAGCAUGUUAAUUACAUGAAAUGCCUUAUUUUCGAGAAUUAGUAAAUGAGCAUGAUUGUUUUGAAAUUAUCAUUAAAUAAUUGAUGUGAUUAUCUUACUCUAGUGCGCCGAGGGGUUGCGGCUGUGUACUAGAGUCAUGUAUUUAACUCCUAUAGACUGAGGGGCUAUGGCCGUUUAUAAGGAUGAUUAUGUUAUUUCCAUCUUGUACACUGAGGGGCUACGGCCGUGUACUAGAGUUAUGUAUAUAACUCCUAUACACUGAAGGGUUAUAGUCAUGUAUAAGGGUAACUCUUAUCCAUUGAGGGGCUACGGCUGUGUAUAAGGGUACCUAUUAUACACUGAGGGGCUAUAGCCGUGUAUAAGGAUGAUUAUGUUUUUUUCAUCUUAUACACUGAGGGGCUACGACCGUGUACAGAGUGUUGAUCCGAUGGUUUAUGUGCAUAUGAUUUUAUAGUUUUCAGAUCAUCAGUAGAUGAUUACAUGGAGUAUAUUUUGAUGUGAAUUUUAAGUAUAGAGUGGAUUAUUAGCUUUCAGCUUACAUUUUCCCAUUUACAGUUCAGCUUGUGGAUUUCAGAUUAUGAUUUUAGCUUAUUGAAUUUGUCUAAUGUUCUCACUCAUCUUGUAUUAAUUAUUAUUAUAUUUCUUUUAUAUAUCAGCUUGAGUCUAAUUUAUGAUUUAGCACCAGAAUUUUGAGUUUAUACGAUGUUAUGAUACAUACAUCAAGAAUAAUGAGUACAUUAAGGUAAAUGCAGCUCUACGUAUGUAUGACCAGAUUAUAGAAUUCAGUUAUUCAGUUCUAAGAAUAAAGCUUUCAGUUUAUAGUAUUAAGUAACAACAAUAUUUCAUAGAUUUUCAUGGGUACCAAAAUUUGUUAUACUUUACAGUUAUUUAUCUCGAAUAAAGAACAAAGAAUCUUAUGAUGCAGUCAUGUUUUAGUUUUAAAGGUUUUAUCAGAUUUCAGAAUUCUCAAAGUUUUAAUAGAGCAAGAAUUUUAAGAAAAUAUGCAUAAAUGAAAAAAGUUUACUUAUUUGCAAAUUAUCCACUCACUGAGCUAUUAGCUCAUAUUUCUUUUACCCUUUUUCCUUAUCAGACAGAUAGNUCAAUUGUUUAAUGAUGGAGUUUACAAUGGAUUUAUCUAGUAUUUAAGAAUGUAUUAUCUACUUCUAAGGCUUGGUGAAUAGAUAUCAGAUCUAACUUAUGCUUUAAGAUUACUAGUGAAGUUAAAGAGAGCUCAACUUAGGAAAAAUCCAAAUAAAGAUGAAACAUAUGAAAGAACGAAUUAUCUCUAGUUCAAGAUUGCUAGAAAAAUCAUUUAUCGUUUGCGUUUUAUGCCUUUAUGUGUUCGAAUUCUAGUUCUCUGAAUUUCGAUUAUGAAAUUCUUUUAAGGAGGUAAGAUUGUUACAACCCAAUUUUUCUUAGUCAAAAAUCAAAGGUUGACUAGUCAAAGUCAAAGUCAAAGACAAUAGGGACUUAAGUUGAACAAAUGAUUUUCAUGGGACUUAGAUUGUAAUUUGGAGUACUUGAGGGCUAGAAAUGAUAUGAUAAAUGAAUCCAAGGAUUUAGUUUUUAUUAUGGGAAAAUGAAAGGACUAAAUGUUAUAUUAAAUUGGAGAAGAGGGACUUAUUUUGCAAAUUUGAGUCGUGGCCCAUUAAAAACCCGUUUCUUUCCGAUUCAUUUACACAAAUAUAUACACAGAGAGAGAGAGGAAACGGCACUAUCUGUAAAAAUUGAGAAGAGAGGAAGAGAAAAAAAAAAGAAAAGGAAAGAAAUAGAAGAAAAAGAAGAAGAAAGAUGUGGCCAUUCUUUCUAAGCUUCGGGCUUUCCUUAGUUCUUCUCAUCUUCAAGAGUGUUGAAGAAAGUGGAAAUUUGAGAUGAAGAAUGAAUUGGGCAGGAAAAAACGACAGAAAGAAGGAGAAAAAGAGAAAGAAAAGAGGAGAGAGAAGAAAAGGAAGGAAAGGAAAAAGAAAGGAAAAGAGGUAGUGGUUAUUCCAAUUUCAUUUUCAAUUUGUCUAAUUCCUUUAAAAGAUAUGGUAUGUUUUAUGCUUAAAUUUUUAUAGUUUUGAUUUUAUUUGUUUAAUUUUCAGAUUUUAAGGAAUGAAUAUAUAUGUUUUCAAGUCAAUAUUUUUGAAUUGGAGAUACUAUUUACACUAAGGUAAAAAAUAUCAAUUUUGGGCAAAACCCUAGAGAAUUUUCAUUUGGAUUUUUGAAUGAGUUCAGUUAACGGGAAAAAUUGUAAGGAUGAAAUACUCAUUUGAAGGCAUGAAUUUAUGGAUCAAGAUGGGAAAUUAAAUUGGUUAAAUUAUGAUUAUUAAUUUUACUAGUUUGGAAGAAGGAAUUAUUUUUAUGUUUGGAGUGAAGAUUAUUGUAAUGAAUUAGCUAUUAAGAAAUGGACUAGAAAGUGGAAUUAGCUUGAAGUGAUUAAAGGAAAUUGGGGAAAAUAUUAUUGAAGUAUCGAAAAGUCAAGUUUUAGUACUUGAUUACUAGUAUUAAGAAAUACUUAGUAUGGAAGUUGUUAAAUUAGUUAUUUUAUAUCAUAUUUCAGGUGGUAACGUGAAAGCUGGACAAGGUUGGUAAAAUUGAACUAGAUUGCUAUUUUUCUGUGAGUGGAAAAAUAUAAAUAUUUUAAAAGUAUUUAUAAAUUAAGUAUAUUGUUAAAGUAUGUGCAAUUAUAUGAAACUAUGUGUUCGAAUUAUAUGGUUAUUAUGAGAAUAUCUUUUAUUAUAAUACAUAUGAGAUUUCAAAGAUUGCAUACGUUACAUUGUGAAUUGGAAUAUGAGAUAUGAUUUUGAGAUCGACCAGAAAAGUACGUGUGAUUAUAUAUUUCUUCUAGUUCACUGAUGAGCCUUGGUCGUGUUCUAUACUAAAUUGAGGGGUCUUGGACCGGAGAUGAAGGGGUCUCGACCAUGUAUAUAUAGUUUACUGAAGGGCAUUGACCGUAUUAUAGAAUUGAUUAUGAGAGUUCUUUGAGAUCGACCUUCGUUCACGGAGGGGCCAAAUGCCCGUAGCGAAAGUUCUUAACCCGAGGGGCAGAUUAUAUAUUUCAAUCAGAUGGUACAUUUUUGAUGGAUUUUUCAGCACGUUUGAUGUGAUGAGAUUAUAACAUGGUUAUCAGCUGAUAUUUAUAUCAUGAUUUUGAGAUGAUAUUUUACAAGCUUAUGUGAAUAUUUCACUUUUGGUUAUAAUUACAUGAUGUUAUUUUGUGAAUUAUUAAAUGAUAUGAACUCGAUUUUCGAUAGAAAUAUUUCACUUUUGGUUAUAAAGAAUGUAUGGUUGAAAAGAAGAUAGAGAAAAAUGCAUUUUGAAAAAAAUGACUACCAAACGAGGCCUAAAUGUUGUUGCAGUAAAAUUUUUAGUUAUUAGCUAAUUUGUCUUUAAAAAAAUAAAAUAAAAAAAUCAACAUUUAAAAUUUGAGAAAUAUGAAUAUUUUGUUGGAGAAUUUAGUACGUGUUCAUCAACCUCCUUAAAGAUCUUUAUUUUAUACAUGUCAUUUGAGGUUUGACAUGUUAAUAUAACUUAAAGUUAGCCAAAGCAUUUUCAAAUAAUUUUAAGUCGUGC
RNAcentral lists this long non-coding RNA (4540 nucleotides) under Olea europaea subsp. europaea. The record is from RNAcentral. Lineage: Eukaryota; Viridiplantae; Streptophyta; Magnoliopsida; Lamiales; Oleaceae.